GUUGGUGUUUUGGUUUUUUUUUUACUUUUUUUUUCAUGUUGAUAGUCUUUAUUUUUGAAUGAUCUAUUUAGAUAUCUUAGGAGUCAUAUCAGGUUACUCAGACUUUAAAUCCUUAUCAGCACCAUCUCCACUUUUUUUUUUUCUACAGACUUCUAACUAUGGAACCAAAUCUACUUUUUUUAAUCAUGUAGAAAUUACCUGUUUUUUCAAGAGAUUUAUCAAUAAUUAACAACAUUUGGAAAAGCCCUGUAUCCUUUAAAAAUAGUAGAUUGUACUGUCAUUAUCUUUCCUUUCUCAUUUAUAUAUUUGUGGCUUUCAUCAGUCUUUUCAAAGCAAUUUGAAUAAUAAUAAUCAUAAUAAUUAUUAUUUAAGUAUCAUUAUCUUAGUCACACCUGAAAUAUUGCCUUUUUUGAGUCUCUAGUAAUGAAUGUGUAAUUUGUUCCUAGUUUCCUUAAUACUUCUCUGAUACUUCUGUGCUCCCAAAAUACAGUUAUGGCAAUAGAUGCUUCAAUUUUUGGGAAACUGUUCUUAUUGUAAAGUGUUUUCUUUAGUGUUUUCUUUACCAAAUGCUGCUUGAAGGAAAUAAACACGACAUAAUAACUGGUUUUCAAUUCAUCCACUAAGUUUUUAUAUUAGGUUUUAACACUUCUGUCACUGAAACUCAGUAUUGCAUUACGUCUGUUGGCUGCUGCACAUGCUCACUAAACGAAUUAUUGUUUGCUGUUUUAAAAAUUAUACUUGCUAUUUGAAAGGAGUGGAGUGGAUGAUCCCCAGUAUCCCAUCUUUGGUUUUGUGUGCUAUAGUUCCUAAAUUCUACAUUAUCUGCUGGAAGGAUGAUCUAGACACAGUGAUGUACUGCGUCACUGGUAAGCUUGAAUUCCACUGUCUCAGUAUUAUGAUUCAUUCCACUGGGUUUCAGUUAUAUUUCCAAUACUUUGGGUUUUUUUCCUCUAUGUAUGAGUAUCUUCAAUUUUUCUUGCCUGUUACUUAAGCAGAUAAUGUUCAUUGCUGGGAAAUAUUAUUUUUUUAAAAAUAUGUCCUUUGAAGAGCUCAGUGUAGUUGUAUUUAUGUUGUGAAACUAACCUUACAUGACAGAGUGUUUGUGUCAUAAUUAGUCUAUUGAAUGAAAAACCUUUCUGGCUACCCAGUCAUGUUUAUUACUUUCGAGAGUGAGAUUUUACAAGGGUGACGCCAACUGAAGCAUAAAGCUCCCUCUACCAUUAAAGACUUUUCAGUUCUUCACAACCCAAAAUCCUACCUCUCAGUCCCACACUAACAUUUUUGCUCAGCCACAGCUAGCCUUACAGAUUUAGCAAAUUCCUAGUUCUUGAGGGAAAAGGGACGUUCAUGACAUAACUUUCUAGAUAUUCCCCUCCAACAGCCUAAGGUCUUCCUGGAUCAGUGGAACACAGGUUGGUAAGGUGUCAGAGGCAACCAAAGGAGGCUACUGCCAGAGGAAUCCCUCUUUAUCAUCUUUUCUCUUUCACUACUGGAACGAAGAAAACUGUCCUGGCUGUGAAAUGUCCUGUCUGUUCAGCUGCCCCUGGAGCCUUCUCUCCACAAGCAGGCUCUCACAACCUUGUGGGAGGUCAGCACAUUUUGAACUAGACCAUAGUUCAGUUCUUUCCUCCAGUUGCUUUUUCCGUCUCUUCAGAUGACUCAUUCAGGAUAGUGAUGUACCUUAGGUCCGUCUGUGAAGAUACCCUUUCAGUCAGACAGCCUGCAAAUUGACACUGGAGCUUGGUACGUUAGUGAAAUACAUAACUUUAAGAUGCAUACUCAGUCUUUGGCAGGCAACAAUUGCAGUGAUGUCUACAUUGUCACCAAAAUAUGAACAUUAGAACACUUUGACCAAUUUUGAAAAUUAUGAAAGUAAUAAAUACCUUCAUUAUUUUUUUUUCACAAACUCAUUUCUCACAAAUGAAUGAUUUGUCUUUAGAAGUAAAAUUGCAUUGUACUUAUUUCUGCAUGAUUUCCCGAAUUACCCUGAGAAGGUAUAAUUUUAUAAGAUUGACAAGAACAGGAAAAGUUUACAAGAGAGAAAUAAUCCAUCAGAUACCAAUUAUAUUGUGUCCUGUUACUUUAGCUUUGCAGUCUAGAUAUCUGGUAAAUUUAAAACAAACUGCUAAGUAAUUUCAGUUGGGCUUUUCCUGUUAUUUUUUCAGAUUUUUGCUUUCCUUUCUUUUCUGCUGUCACUUUAAUCAUCCAGGUUUUUUGUUUUGAUCAAAGUCAGAAAGAUAAUUGUUUUUAUUUGAAAAUAACUAGUACAACAUGAAUCUCUCUUGUCUUUUUUAGGACAUGCUUAUUUGUGAUCUACUCUAAUAAUUUACAGAGAUGCUUAAGAGAACCUGUACUCAUGGGUAUAAAACUGGCAAAACAGAAAUCCCUGUUAAUGUGAGAAAUAACUUUCUUUCACUUAGUUUAAGUACAGUGUUGAAAUGAAACAUUAGUACAAAGAGAUUUGUAUUUUAGAGAUCAAGUUAUUGUGGUAUUAUGGUAAUAAUAAAACAUUUUCAUAGGUCAUCAAGCUUAUAAAGAAAAUGAUUGAUAAGGUUAGGGAAUCUCUACAGAAAAUUAAGGCUAUUUAACGUAUUCAUGACAGACCCCUGAAAACAAUAAGAGCCUUAUUAAGAACUUCUGUUGCUAGGAGACAGUAACCACAGUGUCAGAAUAACAUGUUUUUAUUUCAUAUAAGAACUGCUGGUUAACACACAUAGUUAGAUAAUGAGUAAGGAUAGCUAGGUGAUGUAAAAGACUGCAUGAAAUGAUUAAUUUGUGAGAUAUGAAGCUAAUAAAAACUGCAGGUCUUUAAAAGCUACCUUAGCGUAGUGUGCCCCAAGAACAGACUGAUGACCAAGACUUGUUUGAAGCUUGACCAGCAGUAGGUGGUUACCCUGCUCCAAAGUAUUCAGGUGAAGUAGUUCCAGUUUGUAAAUCAAAUAAGAAUGAAUAAAGGUAAUAAACAACUUUGAAAAAUGAGGUGUUUAUACAGCUGUUUAAUCUUGCUGAUAGAGAAUCAGGUUCAGUAUGGGAAAGAAUAGCAUGGUUCAUAAUGUUAUAGAAUAAACUAAACUGUCUAAAAGAAAAGUUUCUAAAAUCAUCAGGACUUUAGAGAGAUACGAAGGAGGAUCUGUGUCACCCAGACACAUGCAGUACUCUAUUCUAGGAGGUGCCAGGAAAGCUUUGGGAAGACUACAGCUAAAAAAAUAUCUUUGUAGAAACGAUUUCGUGACUGAUAUCUACUAGUUACUUUAACCAGAGUAAUUCUGAAAUAAGUAUAUAAAUAUAUGGAUAGAGGAAAUUUGAUCUGGAAAGCAUGAUCCAUAUCAUUAAUGUGUAGUUAUAAAAGCCUAACAGAGGGGGUGUCUUGUUGAACUUCAACAAGGUACAUCAUAAAGCUCACACCACACUUUGGUUGUGUACAUAUUCUCCACAGUGAUCCUGUUUUCCCAGUUUUGCUAGCAUUAGGGGCUCCUUAUAGGCCACGUUGACCACAUUCAGCUGGACUCCAGGCAGAUACAGGAGCCUCUGACUCCACUCGCCUGGUUCCCCUUAGCAUGGGUUCUUUGAACUGGGAAGUAUAUAGGCUUUGGUGUAUAGGUUGUAUAUGCAGGAGAAGAUAUUUUUUAACAGCGGGGUCCUGUUAUUCUCCCAAACAUCUUUUCUACAUCUGCUUUGCAUGGAAGCAGCAUGCAAGCUGGAUGUAGCCCCUAAGCAACCAGUUUAGGCACACUAAACUGCUCCUCUAGUUCUCCAUUUGUCAUUUCAAAGUCGGGAAAAACUCAUAAUUAGUGUUGCCUGUGCAGUUCUAAAUCUGUUUCAGUGUGUAUGUCCAUCCUGAUAAGAGUGUUUAAUUACAUAGUCGUGGCCAUUUUUUUCUCAGUCAGUGAGAACCAUCAGUCCUAUAGCUAUUGAAAACUCUUCCUGUUACAUGUUCUUAGGCCUCACUCAUUGCUGGAUAGACAAGUCUUGUUAAUUCUCCUGGGUCUUUUCAGUGGUAUUUAUCACUGUUGUGUUUCAUGUGUCUUUCAAAUAAGAAUGAAUGUCUUUUCAUAUGUGAAAGGUUGCUACUGUUAUCAUUCUAUAAAGAGGAAUAGAGAAAAAUGGUUGACAUUAAAGUUGCUAAUUUUGAGCAUCCAAUCUGAGUUGUCUACAGCUUGGUAUUUGAGUCAACUACAAUACUACUGAAGCCCACUGACUUCUGCACAGCUUUUCCUCUGGAUGGCUUCUCCUUAUUGUCUAGGAUCAUCAGCAAGGACACAGACUGCUCUGUGACCUGUACUUGAGAUCUCCAAUACUGGCCCAGAACUGCGAUUGCUGACAAAACCUAAAUCCAAAAUGGACUUUGUUAUUCUGAACCAUGAAUUCUCCCUGGAAACACACGUACUGUAUAUGCUUUCUGAAGGUGACAGAUACCAUCUUUCAAAGAGGGGAGGAACAGUUAACACCUCUUUUCUUAUCCAGUAUGCUAUCAAUUACAAUUCCCAACUAGGCUGAGACAGGGGCUCCUAUUUUUGUUCUUUCUGAGGGUUUGCAAACCUAUCUGAUAUAUUGGGGAUUAUCUCUACCCUACCUGCAAAUUAUGUUGGAGCUGGAACAUCUUACUAACUCCUGUUAAAAUGGUUACAUUUUCAUGCAUAAGAGUUUGGGGCUGGGUAUUUUUUGUUUGGUUUUUUUUUUGGGGGGGGGCAGACAGGGAGUUAAACUCAUUUGAGGGUGGAAGAGACGAAUGUGAGUCUUUCACUUAAAUAUCAGAAUAUUCAUGUGCUGACAUUAAUAUUUCACUGUAUUGUAGCUCCUGUAUAACAGAAGUUCUUUAGCUGGAACAAAAUAUCUGACCAAUGCUCUUGACUGAAUCACCCCAUGCCCUGUUUUCUCCAACCUCACAAAAGAACUCAGUUUUAAGUCCAAAUACCCAAGUGUAGACAGAUAAAGCAGAAAUAAAACAGUGACAUUUUGGAUGGAUUUACUAAAGCCCCAAACAAGUGAAAAUGUAAUUUUAUGAUGGAACCUUUUGGUGAUACUUUGUCUCCUGUUUUAACUUACUGUUAUUUAAAUUGCUGCAGCAGAACUGAGAAGGGGGAAAGUUUCUGACUGUUUGUUUUUCUUAUAAUGAAAUAAUUUAAAUAUCCACAAUAAGAACCGUAGUAUAUUUGGCAUUGCCCUUCUUUGUGUACAGGUAGUUGGGUCACACUCAUUCUUUCCCCUUUAAACAGGAGUCUUAGCAUAAGGUCACAAUAGCUGUGAGCAAGUUUAUAAAUAUAGAAUAGGUUUUAUUUGAAAUACUGUUUUGGAAUAACAGGUGAUUAUUCUUAGUUUAAAGUUUUUUUUCAAAAUUAAGAAUUUAUAAUUAUGAAAACUGAAAAAGCGUGCAACAUUAGCAAGAGCUUAACCAGAAGGAAGGAAAAAAAAAUUUGAACUGAUUUUCAUGAAUUAGGGAGUUUUUUGGAAAUUUCAUUGGUCUUAUUGAUGGGAACCUUUUGAAGCUCAAUCAAGACAAAUGCAAAGCCCUGUACCUGGACAGUAAGAACACCUCCAGCACAAGCUGGGGGACAGCUCUGGUAAAGAGACCUGCGGGUCUUGGUGGACCACAAGCUGAACAAGCUUGAAUAAAAGCAGAGUUGCAAGAUUGAUUCCCAUGCUAUUGCUGGACAAUUGCAGGUUUAGCACACUUGUAUAUCUGGCAGCAUUUAGGACUUAGACUUCUGCAGGGAAAGAAACAUACAAAGUAAGUACUAAGUGCUGACCAUAUUUUAUUAAAGCAUGGCCUACGAGCUUUGACUAGAGCCUUUUGCAGCUUUGGUGACUGUAAACUUUAGCCUUGGCUGAACUGUCAAAAGAACAGAUUCCCAUGGGAUAGUCAGUAAGUUUGAUCACAUUUUCCAUGUAUCACAUCUGCGAGCCUGCCUGUUAAAGGCAAAAAUAAACAACAAACAAACCAGUUUUCAUGCCGCAGAACUUCUAAAAUGUCUAAAUCAGAAGAGUAUCAGCAAAAACAUUGCAGACUGAGAAUUCAUUUUGAGGGUUUUACAUAGCUUAAUCCAAUAACUGGCUGUUAUAUCCCAAUGAAAGAGUAGCCAACUGUCUAAUUUCUUUAGUCUUACUCAAUUGUUUUAGCUUUAUCCUCUGAAAGAUACUUCAGAAGACAUGAUCAGUAAAAAAAAGCAGCGUUUGCUCUACAAGGUUUACUAGUCUGGGCAUAAUGUGAUGCUAACAACUAGGCUGACAGUUUCGGUACUCACGCUCGUUUGUGUCCAACUGGGGAGGUACAUAUAGAAGGGUUGUUUCUGCUAGUCUAUAUCUCUCUGCCAAUGCCAUAUCGUACAAAGAAUAAGCUGUGAUUAUAAUAUAUGUGAUGUGGGAGGUCUUGAAAUAAGUUUUAAUCUCGGUGAUUGUCAGGAGAGGCUGAAUGGCUUUAGCACAGAGAACUGAAAAGUGUAUUUCUGAAUUGGUUUCACCUUUAUUUCAGAGAAAUCAGGAGGGUGGCAAUUUCAUAAUUUCUUACAAGUGUUAUAAAGAUCUAGAGAAGAAUACUGUUCAUUUGAAUUUGGAAGAGAAUCCAAGUGAAUGCUUUGCAUCAGUAAACUUCAGAGUGCUCUAGUAAUUCGUCGUGCUUCACAGGAAGAAAAGCAAAUUGAAGGAAGUGUGUGUGUAGUGUUCUUAGCACAGUUCUGGAUUUAGCUGAACUUUACUCUUCAGUUCACUGGCUUGCAUGACAUUAAGAAGACAAGAAAGGUCAGUCAAAUGGCAACAUCAAAAAGGUUCUUAAAUUCCAAGGAUGGCUCUUGACUUUGGCCAGGCUGGUGAAUCCUUAGCUAAUUGUCAUGGUAUACCAGCAGACAAGCACUCCACUCCAUAUGUAAAAUUAUGUUCUUUUGAUUUUUAAAUAACAUGCCAUGAUAUAGCAACAUUCCUGAGUUCCCACCACAAUAAAACAGAUUUUUUGAAUUUGCUACUUAAGAUUUCUAACAGAUUCUAAAAGACAGAGGCUUUGAUUUGUGUAAAGCUAUUCAUAGUACUGUUUAAGUUUUGACCUUCCCCUUGAUGUGAUUAGAAGUGGGAAUAUAAUUAAUAUUUCUUCACUAGGGCCAGCAGGUCAGUAGUUGCCCAGGAAAGGAAAAAUGUAAUAUCUAUGCCAAGUAGGAGCUCUGCUUUUUGAAGUUCUUUCUUGUACCAAGUGGGGUUUCAGUUUGGUAGAUAAGGGAGCUGUAAUCAAAACCUCAAAAUGCAAAAAUUAAGGACUCUUUGAACUACUUACAUUUGACCUACAAGUUUCUUUAAUCUCAGUGUAUCUCCUGAAUAGACCUUUAGCCAGUUUCACAUACAGUUAUUCACUAUACUCAACUCUUCUUCACAUGAAUGGUGCUGAAAAUUGUAGUAAGGCUGGCAAGCUUCCAGAGUUAGCAAACUGUUACAGGAGCACCUUCAUUCUUUGGAGAGCAAACAGUAAAGAAUAAAGGAGUGUUUCUCAAAUGUCCACAGAUGGAAAUUAGCCCUGAUCAUUUAUGGGUGGGUGCUAGCAGAAUAGUGGCAUAAAUUAAAAAUACCAAUAAAAUACUAUUCGAGUGAUUUAAUUGAAGACAUCAAGGCCAACUAGUUCAAGAAAGAAAAUGAAAAGAAAUAAUUCCAGAGAUGACUGCUGAUUUAACUUGUUGCAAUUAAUACACUUCAGUGCCCUUGAAAUGCCUCAAAUUGAUGAAUGCAAUGGUAAUGACUACUGAAUCCAUCAAAAAUAAACACAUUCAUUGUGGCUGACUUUUGAAUUUAAAACAACCAGAACAGAAAGUUAAGCCAUCAGGCAAAUUUGAGGCAUCUCACCCCUGGAGUGUUCUCAUUUCUUGUGUAACAUAACGCCUGUGCACACUUAGUAAGAGGAAACUGGAGUGAAUGGGCAAGACCUACAGAGGUGAUGAAAACCAUCAUGUAACAGAGUUUUCUGUAAGUUCCUAAGAGAGAUUUAUGCAUCAGUUCACUUCCAGGCUGAAUACAUUUUGCAACUGUGGGUGUGCAUGACCACUGAGAGAAACUUUUCUGUGCAUAAGUACAUAUUGAUUGUUUCUAGGUACUCCACCAUGAGCAUUACAUUUGUUCUCCCAAGGCAAAAAGCCAAGUUACUCCUUGGAACUAUUUUUUGGAUUCUGUUAAAUGGCAUUUAACAGAAUGUAUUGUAAUGAUUCAAACAGCUGAAUGGACAGAUCCUGGCCAGACAAAUUAGUGCCCUUUAAAAAUUUUGUGAACACUGGGCCUACUUUUUGUUAUGCAGUGGAAUGAGAAGUUUCAAUGCCUUUAGAAGACCUGCAAAUAGAUGCCACUGUGGAUGCAUACCACAUCUUAAAGCUGAUAUCCCAGAAUUCCAGAUACUGAAUCAACAGCUAUUGUAUGGGUGGCUUCAAUUGCAGUAUAAAUACAUAUAAUGAUAAUAACAGCAUUAUAAUUGAUUGUCUAAUAAAAAAUAUUAAACAAUAAACCUGAAAGCUAAAUGUAGGAUAGAAUAUUUCAGUUGGAAGGGAUCUACAGUGAUCAUUUAGUCCAACUGCAUGAUGGCUUCAGGGCUGACCAUCAGUUAAAUACGUUAAGGGCGUUAUCCAAAUGCCUCUGAAACACUGAAUGCCUUGGGGCACCAACCACUUCUCUGUGACUGAAAUGCAGGAUGGAAUCCCUAAGAAUCCCUUAUAGGUAACUGCUCCAAAGAAUUGCACCUUAGUCACAUGGUUCCAUUUUAUAAGGAAAGACUGUACUAACUUUCACUACUUUAUUUAUAAUAUAGUUACUGUUUUUUAUUUGCUCUGAAAGAUACAUAGGGUUUUUUUUGGGGGGGAAGAGGGGAGGCUGGGGGGAAACCCCUUCUGACUAUAUUGUUCCAGCCAUCUUAAUUUUAAGUUAUAAUGGGCAAAUUCCCAACUUUCUGGUAUUCUCUGUUAGAAGCCAAUCCCAAGCCUGUCACUCUGAUGGUAAGGAAGAAAGUCUUUGGAGAGGCAGCAUCUCAUUUGCAGUGAAUUCCUGGAUGGUUUUUCUUAAAUUGGCUCUUCCCCAGGAGUAGCUUAAAUGUGGUUAUCCAUUUAAAUAGUUUACUACUGGGAAAACAAUGCUCUAUAAAGUACAAGAUCUCAUUUGCAAAGGAGGUCCUGGGGACUGAAAGUGGAUAUACACGUGCCAUGUGUUGCAGUCUCCAUCUUCUUCUUUUCCUGCUGUUCAGAAAUAAUUUGAAAAUUACCUAAAAUAGGAACAGUGUAUUCAAUGGCUGAUCAACAGGCUCAGAUCUGUCUCCUCAGCAGAACCUGCAGUGGUAGCCUCCAGCAAUAGUUCCUGUAGUCCACAGAAAAAAAAGAAACGAGUGGUUAUUGGGAGGAACAGCACAGCCUCUUCCCAGGAAGGAUGUCUCAGAGGAAAGGCUUGGCUGUGGUGUGUAGGAGCCUCUGGCCAUGACUGUACUACUAAAGUGGAUAUGCCUAGGACUGUUCUUUGGUCAUGAGAGCAUCUGCCCAUAGCAGCUUGUGUCCAUGCUGAUUUAAAAAAAAAGAGGGGGAAAAAAAAAGGAAUAAGUCUCAUGCUCUGAAACAGAGAGGCUGCCUCAAAAAUUUCUGGCUGGGUGAUGCUCUCUUGAAUCAUGCCUAUGCUAAAGUAUGCCAAGGAUAGGUCUGAGAGCAACAAAAGUUACUGGCUUUCAGUACAACAUCUCUUCUCAGAGAUCCCUUGGAAUUAUAUAAUAAAAGGGUUUUCUCUUCCCCUAAUUUAGGUACAGAAUAAACUAAAUCUUUGGGUCAUUCAUGCUUAUUAAAGAGCCCAAACCAUGAGCAAUAAAAGUUCUAGGGAGACAAGGCUGCUUUCAUACAUCCAACGUUUCUUCACUUGACAUUAUAGAGAAUAUCUCUGAGGAAAUAUACUUCAAAACCAUAACAGGCACAAUGACUGCCCUGAAAAUAACAGCCCUCUUAUUAAUGACAAAUGAGCACUGGCUCUUGUUACUUAUAUGCUUCCUUGAAACAUCAGAAAAUGUUUUAAACACUAUCACAAAGUCCAGUAAUGUGAUGAUAUUUGUUGGAACUAAACCUACUAUCAUCUGUAGUUUUAGUUUUAUUGUCCAACAGAAUUAAAAAAAAAAACAAACUCUCAGAAGUAAUUGUCUAUGUUCUUUUUGGUUUGUUUUUUUUUAUUUUAUUUUUUUCUUUUAAUUUUAUUUUACUCAAUGCUCCUUUCAGCCUGUUGUGCAUUCCAUGUUUGGCUGCAGUCUUUUUGGAGAGUUUAAAAGACUUCAGAGACACAUCUUAGAGUUUUAACACAGCUACAAAGUGUUGGGACAAAAUGGGGAGAUCUUCAAAUGCGAGUAAUUCUCUGCUGUAGUGUCUAUAGCAACAGUGGUACACACUUUUCUUAGCAUACUAUUAGCAUUAAAAUUUAAUAACAUGUAGGGGAUAUCUGGGCUGUUACACAUAGAUGAAGAAGACAAAAGUCCUUUUCAGGUAAAGUACAUAACUUCAAAAUAUGCAUAUUUCUCCCGUAUAUUCCUCAUUUUUUCUGUCAUCUAUUUUAUCAUAAACAAAAACUAAUUACAGUCUCUGAAGGAAGCAGUAAAAUUAAAGAAUGCAGGUACCACUCCUAGGUUUUCCAAAUUCUCUAAAAAACAGUGAUUUAGAUUUUCUAAAUUGACACAGUUACUAUAUUCAAUAAAUUAUUUUUAUUUAUUUUUGAGAGGGUAACUUGGAGAAGUGAGUUGAAGUUUCAUAUACUUUAUAAACCCAGCAUUUUAUCAUCAACUGUUUGUGUUCUUCCCUAAACAAUGGUUUCUAUUAGUGUCUUGUACGAUUACAUCUUUUUGAUUAUUAAUGGGUUCAUAAAAUAUAUUUUUUUUACCCUAUUUCUAUUUCAUUGUUCAUUCUAUCUGGGAAGGAGUUUUCUUUCUAAAAAGACAAAGAGCCCAGUUGCCUGAAUGUAAUUGUAUUCACAGUUUACUUUAAGCAGAAAUUUUAGUUGAUCUAAAGUAAAAAAAGGUUGGUUUUUAGCUGUAAGCCAAGUCAACAGAAGCUGUGCUUUCCCAUUUUUCCCUUUUAUUACCUAAUUGUUAUUCCUUAUUGCAAAGUGUCUGCCAUUAUGUUAUUUAUUUAUUUUGCAGCAGGUUCCUUUUCCUUUACACUUGUUCUAAGGGGUAGUAAACCCUUAAUGCCACAGUGACCAAUGGUAAAUCACGGUGUCUGACACUAGGAGACAAAAGAAGCAGGAGGAAUCUGUGAAAAAUGCCUGCAAGAAGCGAAGCACAGCAUGGAUGGAGAUGAUUCACAUCUCUGCAGUGAAUCUUCAGUAAAAGAUGGAAGAACUAAAGUAAAGAAGGACUACUGUUGAUUCCCAAACAUGCUUAAAACAAGAAGGUUAUUCCCCCUGACUGAGUUGGUGAGUUAAAGAAAAAAAGGCAGCUAGCAGCACUGUGAUGGCAGCAUUUCACCUUGCUUGGUUUGUACUGGGUCUUUUUGUCAUCAGCAGAUGAAUGGGAAAUGAAUGGAGAGAGAUGGCUGCCAUGGAUAGUAUUUGCAGAAUUAAGCAGAUGAAUAUCAAAUACCUUUGAUUAGCCACAAAGAGAAUUUACAAGUGGUAAAGGGGUAAAUGAAGAGAUUUAUUCCUGCCUCUCCUUUUUUUUUUUUUUCCAGGAACAAUGAACAGAAAUAUUAGUGUAUUAGCACUGGAACUAUUUUGUAAGUCAGACACAGCAAAAGGCUUAUUCUUGAGUACUUGUGGAUAACCUGCUUGCAGUUUACUGUGGCAUUACUGUGAAGGACUCAAGAGGGCAAAUUCAGGACCUUGGACAGAUGUUAAGAUCUUCUUUUAUAUAAGACGGAAUUUCAUAUGCUUUAUUUAAAAUUUCUGUAGUAAAAUAUACAGGUAUGUGUUCACCCUCUGAGUGCCAAGCAGCAUCGGCCUUUAAUUUUAAACUGUUAUUAUAACACUAGUAAAAUAAGUUUGUAAAGGCCAGUAUAAAUACAAGGCUUCAGUAAAUAUACUGCCUUUUCUGGUCUGAGUGGUGCAUUUAUAUUCAUACGUCUAUCACUUUGUUAAUGAGUUUUCUUCUAUAAAUUGACCCUGACUGCUACUGUAAAGUAUAGCUUAAAUGAAGUGUGGCUUUGAGACCAGGCAGAUUAUUAAAAUAUUAAGGGAUAUACAUUGAAUCAUAUGACUAUCUUUCUUGCUAAUAUUUCAAGACCAAAUACUUUUUGUCUGAAAGAUGACCUUUGAUGAGGAAACUUAUGGUCCAAGAUGUACAAAGCUCCCUUUGGAGCUUUUAUUUUAUCUUCCUUUUUCUUGCAUCUUUUAGUCAUUCACACAUCUGCAAAAUGGAUUUAAAAUGGCAUCACUUAACCGAGUAGCCUUUGACACUUAUUUCACUUAAAUACAGAUGAGUGUUUAAGGCACAAAACACAGGAAAACUGCAUCCCUUGUCUUCUCUGUGAAAUAUAAACAUGAGAUGGUGGCAGAAAUUAGUAUAUUCUGGGUGUAAGCAGCAAGCUCAAUUCUUAGUGGGCACGUUUGUAAAAUCAAAACAAGCUCUUUCUAUAAUCGUAAGAAAGAAUGUAUCUGGCUAAGUGUUUAUGUACUCAAAAGAAACGCAUGUAGUGCUGGAGAUUUCUUGCAAAAAUAUCUAUGUGCCUGACUAGGGCAUCACAAUGCCUUUAUUAGGAUUUUACACUGUGUCCUUAUGUUUUUCCUACUGAUUGUCACUCCAAUACAUAUACUGUAAAUUAAUUAGUUUAAUACCCCUAGUGAACAGAAAAUCAGUGUCUGUUAUCAGUAUUUAUAUUGAUGAGAGAAAAUUCUUAAUUAUGUUUAAGCGCAUACAUGUAUGUGCAUAGACAAAUUCUGAUUUUUAUCGUACAAGUCUCAGUGAGCUACUCAGCUACUAAGUACCAUAUAAGUUGCUUGAGAUAUUGUGACCAGAUGGUUCACAGGGCUAGUAAUGGAUUAUAGUUCUUUCCAGCUCCAGAUUGCCAGUUCAAAUCUGGGUCAGGUUGACACUGUCUGAAAAUUAUUACUGUUUGGUGGCUCAUGUGAAAUAAGUUGGAGACCUCAAUAUAGUUCCUAAAGGCUGGGUUAAUAUAACACAAAUGUCACCAGAUGAUUGUUGGUUUCAGGGCUCAGGCUGAAGCACACUGAAGUCAGUGGAAAAACUUCCAUUGAUUUCAGUGGGUAUUGAAUUAGGUCUUAAUUAUGGAGAAUGACUCCUUUGAGCUCUCGGAAGUGGUUAUUUACAAGGGGACGAAGGAUCUCCAUGAACUGCUCCUGGGAGACACGUAGUGCUGCCAGCUAGGAUAAAGCAGAAAGAGGUGCUCAUCUGUCCUUGUACUUCAUGGAAUAUGAGGAUAUCAGGAGGGGCCAAUUCCUGACUGAAAUACACUAAUCUUACUUAGUUUGGGUAAGAGUGGGUUUAUUCUGGCAGAGCGGUAGAGAGUCAAAACCUCUCUGAAAGUUCAAAAUAUCAUUCUCUUGUUAGGUUUGGUGCUGUUGAACAGGUCACACAAAUGGCUCCUAAAUUUUUUGCAGAUCAUCUGCUCUCAUCUAAGGAUAUUUUUGGUUUUGUUUGAACAGCAGAACUCCUUUGAACUCCACAGAGGAUUACCUGGCUUCAGUUCAAGGCAUAGUUUGUCACCCCCCAGGCUCCAUUAGUGCAACAAUGAAUGAGAAAUAACUUGAUCCUUGGGGAUAAGAGCCAUAGGGAAGAAAUAUUAGAUAUUAAAGACUCUUUAGUUUGACUGACUGAAAAUUUAAACUACACAGGUUAAAAUGGGAAAUGAGGCACAGUAUUAUCACAGUAGUUGGUUAGCAAGUGGAUCAAACCAGUAGGAAAAAUGGAGGCGUUGCCAUUUCAAUCACAUCAAGUUCAGAUACAUGUCCAGAAGAUAUGCAUUAAUCAGACAUGCCACUGAUUAUGUCCAAUAACACUGUGCAUUGUGAUAAUUAUGUAGUAUUAUUGCCAGGGGAAUAAAAAAAAGAGAUAAAACUGAGCCACUAGUCUAUUGAACUACAUGUAUUCACCCCUGCCUUCCACUCUCUUUUGAGUUUGGUUUCUAGUCCUACUCCAGAGGCACUCAAGUACAACUAUGAUUGCAUAAUUUCUGUACCCCUUAAAUGAAAUGAAUUAAAAUUCCAGAAUCAGUUCUUGUCUGUACAUCUGAGAACAAAAUGUCUAACUCCUUUGACAUCUUUCAAUGAUAAGGUCACCUGUCUAGUGAAUGGAGGAAUUGUUGGAUAUAACAGUUCUGGGCCCCACCAUUUAAGGAGGAUGUGAAGGAACCUGAGUGCAUCCAGAGGAGGACAACAAAGCUGGUGAAAGGGCUGGAAGGUGUGUCCUGUAGGGAGUGGCUGAGGACCUUGUAUUUGUCUAGUUUAAAGAGAAGGCAGCAGAGGAGUGACCUCAUUGCUCUCUAAAGCUUUCUGAGGGGGGGAACUGGAGAGGGAGGCGAUAAUCUCUUCUCCCUUGUAUCAAGUGACAGCAUGUCAUUCCAUGUGGGAAUGGUUCAAAGCUGCAUCAGAAGAGGUUCAGGCUUGACAUUAGGAAGCACUUCUUUAGAGUAAGGGUGGUCAAACACUGGAACAGGCUUCCGAGAGAGGAGCCAGUCAGUGUUUGAAAGGCAUUUGGAGCAUGCCCUUAAUAACAUGCUUUUACUAUUAGCCCUGAUCAGCCCAAACUGGUGUCACAGUUGGACUAGAGGAUUGUUGUGUGUCCUCUCCAACUGGACCUAUCCUAUCCUAACUUAUCCUGUCCUGUCCUAUCUUACCCUGUCCAUCCUAGUCAAUAAAACUAUAAUUUCUUUUUAAAAAGUCCCUUUUGUUUCUCCUUCAUCUAAACUUUAAUGGUUUUGUGUUUAGUUAGAUGCUGGUGACUUGGGAAUUUUACAUUCUACCUACAUAUUCUAAAAAAGUUUCAGGUUUGCUGUUGAAUUGCCAUAUUUUAGAAUCCCUCAUUUGUUUACCUGUCUAGUAUUUAGCUUAGUGGAAAAUAACAAACUUGACCUGUUUACCAUUGAUAAAUGGAAAUAAUUGAUACUUUAAGGAUGUUCCCCUCCAGUAGGAGAACAAAGAAACCAGAUUUUGGGACUGGUCGGAGAACAGAAAAAAUCAGAAACAGACAAAAGCAUUUUUAUAGUAGAUAGUAUGGGUGAGGGAAUAUGGCUGGGGUAAAAAUUAGAGGAAAUUGAGAAGUUGUAUUCAUACCCUAACAGAAGUUAUAAUGGUACAGAAAUUUUAGGGUAAAAUGCAGCUACUACUUCCUGGAUGGGAUGCGGUUGGCAGCUCCAUGAUCAUUCCCCAUACAACAGCAAAGCACCUGCUAAGGCAGAUGGAAUAGAGGGUGGAGUGGAGACACAGCAGCCAGGCUCUGUGGUAAUCCUUACAGGGAGGGCAACUCAAUGGUACUUUGCAACUGAUAAACUGCCCAGUACCUGUCAACCAAGGGAGAUAGGAGAUAUCCUGCUUCUGAGCCAACAAUGGUGGUGAAAUCAUUCUCCUCAGAUGAACUUGGUUCAUUAAAGCCUAACUGUAAUAUUAACAUACACCUCCAUCCCAAAGUUUCCUGCUUCCAAGGUGUGACCACCUUCCACUGGGCAUGUGCUCUAUAUUUUUUUGACUGUAUCUUUAAAAGUGAAGCGAGAGAAUUUUUACACCAAUCAGUAACAAAGGUAUUUAUGACUAGAGUCACUCAAGCUCUAUCUAAACAUAAAAAAAUAGUAUAAAAGUAAGCCAAGAAUGGGGAAAAAGUGAGGGAAGACUCCAUAGUAACUGCUGGGAUCUGUCAAUGGGCUGGACCUAUCUUCUUCCUCACUUCUUGGGUAAGAACUGUACUCUAUGCAUGCUGAAUACUUUUACUGGGAUUAGAGCUUGUCUGUGUUGUGCCUUGAAUAUGUUUUCGCAGUCAGAUACUAUCACCGGCAAUCCUUGAACCUGUCACAGUUUUAUAUUAAUAAAGAGUGUUAUUCCCUAAGCUGUUAGUGGUGGUCCUUCCUGGGCAGCAGAGGGUAACACACUCAAAUAAAGUGGGAAGACCCACUGAGGGGUCUCCAUUAUGCUGUUGGCAUAAGGGAGUUCCCUGACAAGGGCAGUGAAAUUGCCCUCUGAUCCAGUGGGACUGUUUGGUGAAGGAUCCCCAUAACGGGACACUGACAGACUGGUCAAGCAUGAGGGUCUCGGCUUUCCUGGGGCACUAACAGACAAAUCAAACACUAAGGGUUGAAGAAAACUCCCAUUUUUAUGUGACAAUGGGCGUUCAAUUUAUUCUUGAGAUCAAGAGCAAGAUAAUCCACAAUACAAUUUGCAUGGAGGGAGAAACCUGAAGGAAAUAAAUCAAUGAUAAUUUGUGGCUUUUGUUCAGGCCUUUACUGACUUAAAUAGGAAAGCAGGAGUGUUUUAAAUGCAGAACUUACUGUUAUAUUAUGUCAUAUUUUCUCGAAGAGAUUAACUCACAAAACAGAAAAGUCACAUCUUCAUUGGGAUACUGUCAAGCAGGUGAAGGGGGAUGAGAGACAGUUCCAAGUUCAACACCUAGCAUUUGGAUGAAGGAUGAUGUUCCUAUUACCAGAAGACAUCGGACGUCAAAUCUGUGCUUGAGCUAUGAUAUGAACUUGGAUAUGGUUUGAAACUUGCUUGAUUUUACAUUUUGUUUGCAUUUACUUAGCAAUGAAUAACUGAUGGUAGUGUUUAAUGAGAAUAAUCACAUCAUAGAAUCAUAGAAUGGUCUGGGUUGGAAGGGACCUUAAAAAAUAUCUAGUUCCAACUCUCCUGACAUGAACAGGAACACCUUUCACUAGACCAGGUUGGUCAGAGCCCCAUCCAACCUGACUUUAAGCAAUUCCAGGGAUGGGUCAUCCACAGCUUCUCUGGGAAAAAAGGUUGUUAUGUCUUUUCUAUUAAACUUACCUUGAUUUUAAUGAAGAUAAUUAAGAUCACUUUGGCUGCUUUCUUUGCGUGUGUAUAAACGAAGUAUUGCCCAUCAAAAAGUUUAGGAUGGCUGAUACAUGCAUAAAAGAAACCUAUAGAAGUUGUUUAGAUUUACACAUGAGUUUAGGGAAGCCUAUUUUUCAGAUUCCUAAAAUGUUUCAGUGUCCUGUAUUUAACUUCAGAUGUAAAUCUAUUACGUUUGUGUGCAUAUAUAAAAUGUGCAAUAUGAAAUGCUAUUUUCUUUGUAAAGCAAUUACCUUCUCAUUUAGCCAUAUGAUUUAGAAUAAUUUACAUAGGAAAAUAAUUUAAAUAUGAUAUUGUUUUAUGAAAUCUCACAAAAAAACCUUCUCCUUUGCAUUAAUUAUCUUUUCUCUGCUACUUUCCCUCCUCCUCCUUCAACUGUCUCAGUGACUUUAAAGUUUAUUUAAUUGGCAGGUGUAAUGAGUGAGAACACAAAAUCUGUGUUGAAUGAUCACAAAUCCUGAGCACUUCACUUGAAGAUAUACCUUUUUCCAUAUGCCUGUGUCAUUUCCAUUUACACAAUCAGCAGUUGUCAAAGUCUAAUUGCUUAGUGAGAGGCACUAAAAUUCUUGGUGAUAUCACAGAUUUAUACUCUGUUUUUCAGAAUGUGCCUGACCUAAAAAGGAGGGGAGAAGAAGCUUCGUAAUGUCUUCUCGAGGUUAAUCAAUGUACCAACAAGGAAUGAUUGCCAAUACAAACCUGCAGAAUGGAGUAUUUGGGGUCAGAAAAGCACUAAAGCUGAGUGGGGUGUUUCCACAUUUUCAAUUACCUUUUCAGCCAAAGUGCCAUGGCGAGGCCAUUUAUACCACCCUCUUCCAUAAAGAUGUAGUGCUACAGCAACUGUGAUCUUCCUGUACUUUGGCAAGGGAGAAGACAGCAGCAGAACAUGAGGAUCCACUUUGCAAAGGCUUUCAUGGUUGUGAAACUGAAGGAACUUGAAUUUAAACCUUCUGUGAAUGACUUUCCUAGAGGUACUGUAUUCCAGUAAAAUCCACUGCCUUGUUUUUUCAUGGGCUGUGUAAUCAAAUAUAAUGACAUCUAUGAUAAUUUGAAAGUUCUGAUGUGCUCAAAAGUGAGGAGAAAGCAUGUUGGAGCUUCUCAGCAUGUCAAUGAGUGACCCCACCACCAAACAGCUGUUAUUUGAUGAUGUGCUGUGGAGAAGCCAGAUAAUUUAUGUCCUUUUUAUCCGAAAUUGUUACACUCCUUUACAUACAUCUCUCUUGAGUCUCCCAAUGGCAUACAAAGCCCAGAGAAAUUACAGUAAAAUCAGCCAUCCAUCCAUCAGCUCAGGCAAAUAAAUUUACUAAUUUAGUCUUCGUUUGCUUUUGCCUUUUGGUUUUGUUUUUUCUUUCUUAAAUAAAGGAAUUGUUAACUCAGUGCUCUGUGAUAGUUUAAUCUCACUGUAGUGAAGAGCUGUGGUAUCACACCUAUCCCCAUUCUUUUUAAUCUUCAUAUUAAAUCUUCUACACACACCCCAAGCAUGAGGGAGAAGAUAGACUGUACAUUGCCAUCCUUCCUAAUGCUCUUCCUCAUUGUCAGUUUUCUUCCACUCUUAAUUCUCCCUCAAGGGUCUGAUGAUAUGACAAGUUUUUCCUGUACACUGAGUCCUUUCCAAAGACCAGCUUCUCUGUCCCAAUAUUUGCUUCUCUCAUUACACUAAACUUCAGAUGUCUGAUAUCCCUGGGAAUGACACUUUUUCUUUCCACAUAAAAGGAAAAAAAAAAGAAAAAAAAGUGGUGUUCUGGUGGCUUACCUGUCACUAUGACUUUGACAAAGAAAACUACAAAUCAAAGAGAUUUUAGUACUUGGAUUGGCUAUUUUAGGGGUUAAGUGGACAUCGGAACGCUACAUUUGGGGAAUAAUUUGGACUGAUCACUAUGUUUUAUAAGUAGAAUGAAGGCAAAGCAUGAAACUGUGUUUGAUUGUCCACUUGCUUGUCCAUCUGCAUGGCAUAUACCUGCCAAAGCAGGGCAGAAUGCUGCCAUUUCACUUUUUCACCUGUAAACGUGUGGGUGAUAUUUGGGGCUACAGCUAAUUAAGAAAUUCUUGCAGAACAGAUUUUCUGAGAGACAGUGCUGAGUCAACAAAGUUGGAAGGUUUCACAAGGGAUAUUUAUGCAUGUAUGUAUCUCUAAUCCAGUCUCACAGGAAGUUAUUAAAAUGUUUGGUUCCAAAAGGUCAGUGCAUUCUGUGUUUGAUAUAAUUUAUUAUAUGGAAAUUGAAAUAGUAAGGCAGAAGCAAAUAUUCUUAUCUUUUAUGAAAAACCUUCUUUGAAUGCUAUUUUUUUACAGAAUAUUGCCUUUUUCUCCAUAUUUCUCAGUCUCAGAAUAUCCAGGCUUUGCCCAAGCCCAGAAAGGUCAGUUUCAGGAAGUUCUUUUGGUGUCAUUAUUCAACCAUCCGAGUUCUGUUCAAGUUUCUAUGCCUUUGUAGGAAAAAGGGAAAGAUAAUACCAAGUCUGUCUGUAUGUAUAGACAUUACAUGUGUAGACAGGACAAGAAGUAAUGGCCAUAAACUAUAACACAAGAAGUUCUGCCUCAACAUGAGGAAGAACUUUACACUAAGGGUGGCAGAGUACUGGAACAGGCUGCCCUGGUCAUGAAGUCUCCCUCUCUGGAGGCAUUCAAAACCCUGGGCAUGUUCCUGUGUCACCUACUCGAAGUGACCCUGUCUUGGUGGGAGAGUUGGACUGGAUGAUUUCCAGAGGUCCCUUCCAACCCUAACGAUCCUGUGAUCAUGUGUGCCAUUAACUCUACUGUUGGAAACAUUACUCCAGUUUAUAAAAUCUAUUCUUUAGAACUUCCAUUACUUCUAUGAGCACACAUCUUCCUUGGAAAUUGUUUCUUUCUUGCCCAUGAGCUCUUUCUGUUCUUUAUUUUUUCACGCCUCUUCAAGACACUAAAUGAAUGAUACUAAUAUUUGUCACAAAGAGCUGUAAACCUUUCUGAAGUAUUAAAAUACACUGAAACCUGACAAAGCUUCCAUCACAACUUGCUAAACUGGGUGACUAUGCAGAAAAUAAUCAAAUUAUAACAUUUUAUUCAAAAUACAUUGUAUUUUACUACACAAAAAGAAUUAGUGUGGUAAACACACUUAACAGAGAAACAAAAUAGAUUACAUUAUUGCCUUUGACAAAAGCACUGAUGUAAAUGGAAUUUAUUGGAAUUCUCGAAACGACAAAAAGAAUUUAACAGUGAUAAUUUCUUUAAUGCUUACUUUGAAGCCACUGGCAAAAUAUAGUGACUCCAUUUAUGGCUGAUUUCAUCCAAGUCAUUGUUGUUCCUGAAGUGGGAGCUAUUUUCUAAAUAAAAUCUAUAUUAUCUGCGUAUCACAGGCCCUUCUGGAGGUUUGAAGCUAGAAGGAACCAAUAAGAUCUGCAUUAUACAAUACCUACAAUGUCACAGAUGGACUUCUGCAGCUGUGUGACACACCAGUACUGCUUGUCUGCAACUCCAAGCUGCUCCAUUACUGCAUUUCACUAAAGGCGUCUCAGGUGAAAACGGGGAACAAGGUUAGGAACACAACUAAUUUUGUAGGUUUGUUUCCAAGCAGUCUUCUCCCAGGAGUGCAUUGCUUGUCUUCCCGUGCCACAGGGGGAAGCAUGUCUGCCCCUGAGCAGGUGCCCAAGCUGGUGGGUACAGGCUGGUACAUGACUGGUGUGUGCUGGUGCAUUGGGGCACAUGGCUGGAGCUGGCAUCUGCCCUGCUCCUGUAUGGCAGGACUGACUUGAGACACAGGCACUUAAAAAAGGAGUUUGUGAGUCUUGGCAUUGGUAAAUCAUCCAAAUUUGGCCAUUCAUUUAAAGAUAUGUAUUUUAUUGUUCUGUAGGAAAACUGUCAGGCAACUGAUUCUCAUCAGUGAAAAGCAGCCUGCUGCAUUUUUUCCUUUAUUUUAUCAUUGGAAUUCAACUGGCAUUAAAUAACAGCAUAUUUAUAUUUCUCUGCAUUUAUUUCUUUUUUCCAGUUCUGGAAAGUGUCCUUACCUAGCAAACUAUUUGAGAAAAGGACCCUUACAGCCUUAUGUUAGGACAAAGAUGUUGAUAUAUUUGGACGGUUCCAGUGAGAUCUGGGUGUGUGUACAUUGCAAAAUUAGCAAAGUCACACCCUGUAAAAUAAAUUAGUUAUAUCAGUGGAAAGGAGGGAUAAUUAUGUUAAUACUGGAAGCAACUGCCCAUGUAGCUGCUUCAGUCAAAUACCCCAGCUCUACCAGUACACCUUUCUCACUCUGCCGCAGACUCUUCUCACUGAUGGCCGUCAAUCACGGAAGGUACGUGGGGAAGGUACGUGGUGAACGUCCCUUCUUUCCCAGGAAAAAAGGGAUUUAAGAAUAUGUAUGGUGCUUUUCUGAAUUAUAGUCUCUGCUUUUAAAUAUAUAUAAAUGAUCAGUUUAACAUGGGAAUUUGCAUUUCUCAGCCCUCAACUGGAGCCCUGUCUUUAAAUUCAAGGUGUUAUCCCUAGAACAGCAACAUUUUUCUUCCUUGAUUGCACCCUACCUGAUGUUCCUGCAGGCAUGUUUCAGAAUACUAGUCAUCAGGAUUUGCAUAUCUAUUUUAGCUCUCUUAAAUUGUGUCUUUACAACAAUGCAAUGACAGAAUUUUUCAUCCCAAAUGACAUUCUGUUUCUGGAGGGUCAGUGCUUUGUGUUUUUUGUUUGAAAUAGCACAAGAGGUACAGCUAAGGGCUGGGGAUGAAAAAUUGCUAGAUCUUACAAUCAUCAUCAGGAGCCUCCACAAAGGAACAAUGGCAAUAAUAACAAACAUAUUCAUCUGUGAAAUCCAUAGGAUUUGACUAAAAACUGCUUUCCUAUCUCUUUAAAUAAAUACUUAAUAUUCUGUUUAAAGUUUAGCAACAACAACAUUUAGGAAUCACCAUGUUACUCUGAUUCAGUAUGAGCUUGCCUAAUAGAUUAUUCUGUCCCUGACAGCAGUCAAUACUGGCUGUUUCAGAAGAAGGUACAAGGAACACAUUAAUGAUCAAUUAUGGAAAAAUCUGCCUUUUGGGCAGCAAUUCACAAUUUUUAUGUGCUGGUCACUUUUUGCAAAAAGGAUAAUACUGGGUGUACCAAACCACUACAUGGAGAUAUGAAUAAUGGGUUUUCUGCCUUCUCUUAUAAAUGUUCUUUGAGCAGUCUAAUAGUUUAAAAAGUCAAGGUGGUCCAUAAUUAAAUUAUGAUCCAUUGGGUAUUUCUUGGGUUCUUUCUCUUUUUUUUACUUUUCAGGGGUUGGUAAGGGAGCUUCCCAGCUAUUGCGUAAUGAUACUUCAGAGUUCCCUUCCUCUAGCAAGAGAGAACCUGAAAGAAUAAUUCUGGGAUUACACUGUUUAGGACCCUGAAGAACAACUCAGAGAUGCGUGUCUUGCUCCCAUCUUUGCCAGCUUCAGUUCAUUUUUGUGGCCUUUGCAGAAGGCUGCAUUCCUCACUUUGAGAAAUCUUGCAGAAUGAGGUUGUUCUUCCAGACUCUGAGUUCCAUGUUUUGUGUGUUUACGUCCAUGCAUUGUAAGUGACUAAAUAGAAAUCUUGUGAUUGCAGAAAUGUGAGUUAAUAAUAUUCCUUGAUAAUUUCUAUUUGGAAAAAUGGCCAUGUGCCUUAACCUAACAAAACCUUUUGUCCUUCUUGAAUUCUGAUCAUGCUACUAUUAGGGCAUUUUUUUAACCUACUGAAUAAAAGGCUAUUUCAAAUUU
Molecule: long non-coding RNA, 22608 nt
Organism: Pseudopipra pipra
Lineage: Eukaryota; Metazoa; Chordata; Aves; Passeriformes; Pipridae
Exons: 6
Source: RefSeq, a predicted model, not a curated record